CUUAGGUUGAUAAAAAUAUAAGCAAUCCUGAGCCAAAUAUUAUUUCGUUUAAAAAUAAGAUAGGUGCAGAGACUCAAUGGAAGCUAUCCUAACGAAUAAUAUUUUCAAAAUUAUUUAAAAUUUAUUUUUUGGAUAUUUGAUAUUAGGCGAGGAUAAAGAUAGAGUCCAAUUUUAUAUGUUAAUUUUAGCAACAAUUUAAAUUGUAGUAGAAAGAAAAUCCGUUGGCUUUAUUGACCGUGAGGGUUCAAGUCCCUCUACCCCC
This 262-nucleotide transfer RNA is filed under the name Oxyrrhynchium selaginellifolium. RNAcentral describes it as "partial transfer RNA-Leu". The stretch from base 1 to 188 matches the Rfam family "Group I catalytic intron", at positions 69 to 253 of the family's 253-position model. From Rfam's summary of the family: Group I catalytic introns are large self-splicing ribozymes. Lineage: Eukaryota; Viridiplantae; Streptophyta; Bryopsida; Hypnales; Brachytheciaceae. The record is from RNAcentral.